UGUAAUUUAUAUCGUAUUCUAAAGACAGCAGGCAUGUGUAAACUGUAAGUCCGGCCGAGGAAUUGCAAUUAAGUCAAUAAGAUUUAUUGUCCUUUCUCGUGUUGUCGGGAAAGGCUUUUUUAUUGCACU
Ruminococcus sp. CAG:624 is the source of this 129-nucleotide non-coding RNA. Lineage: Bacteria; Bacillati; Bacillota; Clostridia; Eubacteriales; Oscillospiraceae. The record is from Rfam.